Gossypium hirsutum (cotton) is the source of this 107-nucleotide non-coding RNA. Lineage: Eukaryota; Viridiplantae; Streptophyta; Magnoliopsida; Malvales; Malvaceae. The record is from Rfam.
AUCUCAUGGUGAGAGCAUCUACAAAGUAACUCCUUGAAUCUUUCCCACGCCUAGUAUAGGAACUCAUCAUCCAUUGGCUAGAAAGUAGUGAUCUUAUUCCGCAACUU